UAGCGUAUAUUAAAGUUGUUGCAGUUAAGAAGCUCGUAGUUGGAUUUCUGGCAGGAGCGACCGGUCCGCCGCAAGGUGUGCACUAGGUUGUCUCCAGUCAUCUUUGUGGGAACUGCUCUGACAUUAGGUUGUCGGGGUUAGGGAACACAUCGUUUAUUGUGAAAAAAUUAGAGUGUUUAAAGCAGGCUUAUGCCGUUGAAUACAUUAGCAUGGAAUAAUAAGAUAGGACUUUGGUGGUCUAUUUUGUUGGUUUGCACACCAAGGUAAUGAUUAAUAGGGAUAGUUGGGGGUAUUCGUAUUUAAUUGUCAGAGGUGAAAUUCUUGGAUUUAUGAAAGACGAACUACUGCGAAAGCAUUUACCAAAGAUGUUUUCAUUAAUCAAGAACGAAAGUUAGGGGAUCGAAGAUGAUUAGAUACCAUCGUAGUCUUAACCAUAAACUAUGCCGACUAGGGAUUGGUGGUCGUUCUUUAUGACUCCAUCAGCACCUUAUGAGAAAUCAAAGUCUUUGGGUUCCGGGGGGAGUAUGGUCGCAAGGCUGAAACUUAAAGGAAUUGACGGAAGGGCACCACCAGGAGUGGAGCCUGCGGCUUAAUUUGACUCAACACGGGGAAACUCACCAGGUCCAGACAUAAUAAGGAUUGACAGAUUGAUAGCUCUUUCUUGAUUUUAUGGGUGGUGGUGCAUGGCCGUCCUUAGUUCGUGGAGUGAUUUGUCUGCUUAAUUGCGUUAACGAACGAGACCUUAACCUGCUAAAUAGGAGCGCCUAUCUCCGGAUAAGCGCCUUUCUUCUUAGAGGGACUUUAUGCGUUUCAGCAUGAGGAAGUUUGAGGCUAAAGCAGGUCUGUGAUGCCCUUAGAUGUUCUGGGCUGCACGCGCGCUACACUGAUGCGUUCAACGAGUGUACAACCUUGCCCGAUAGGGUUGGGUAAUCUUCUGAACACGCAUCGUGAUGGGGAUAGAUUAUUGCAAUUAUUAAUCUUCAACGAGGAAUUCCUAGUAAUGAUGGUUCAUCAGACCAUCGUGAUUACGUCCCUGCCCUUUGUACACACCGCCCGUCGCUCCUACCGAUUGAGCAAUCCGGUGAAUAUUUCGGACCGAGACCUGUCGGGGCAACUCGUUCAGGAUUUGGAAAGUCAAGUUAACCUUAUUGCUUAGAGGAAGGAGAAGUCGUAACAAGGUUUCC
RNAcentral lists this ribosomal RNA (1184 nucleotides) under uncultured marine stramenopile. Its description in RNAcentral is "bacterial SSU rRNA". It matches the Rfam family "Eukaryotic small subunit ribosomal RNA", at positions 595 to 1804 of the family's 1831-position model. The record is from RNAcentral.